RNAcentral lists this long non-coding RNA (318 nucleotides) under Setaria viridis. RNAcentral describes it as "long non-coding RNA (SVIR_LNC004585)". Lineage: Eukaryota; Viridiplantae; Streptophyta; Magnoliopsida; Poales; Poaceae. The record is from RNAcentral.
GAAGUCCGGGUCUUCCUCUAUAGCAACGAAGCAAGGGUGAGUACAAAAGUACUCAACAAGUCCAACCCCAUCCAUGGAGGGGGAUACAAUCAAGUAUAUGCAUAGGAUAUAACAAGGAUAGGCUAAGGUUCAUUUGCAAUAAAGCUAGAUUUCCAACACAUGCACGGGUUCAUUUUCCAAAAGAGUUUUGCAAAGCUUUUUAGUAACUGAAACAUUAAGUGGGGUUGAUCCUACACAAAGGACCCAAUUUUUCUUGCUAUCGGACUCUCCAUCCACCAUAGCUCACGGCACAACUGUCGGACACUUCCAAAAUCCAAC